Molecule: ribosomal RNA, 394 nt
Filed under: uncultured bacterium
Lineage: Bacteria
Description: bacterial SSU rRNA
Rfam family: Bacterial small subunit ribosomal RNA
Source: RNAcentral
AUUGAACGCUGGCGGCAUGCCUUACACAUGCAAGUCGAACGGCAGCACGGGGGCAACCCUGGUGGCGAGUGGCGAACGGGUGAGUAACAUAUCGGAACGUGCCCUGGAGUGGGGGAGUAACUAGUCGAAAGACUAGCUAAUACCGCAUACGAUCUACGGAUGAAAGUGGGGGAUCGCAAGACCUCAUGCUCGUGGAGCGGCCGAUAUCUGAUUAGCAGUUGGUGGGGUAAAGGCCUACCAAGGCAUCGAUCAGUAGCUGGUCUGAGAGGACGACCAGCCACACUGGGACUGAGACACGGCCCAGACUCCUACGGGAGGCAGCAGUGGGGAAUUUUGGACAAUGGGCGCAAGCCUGAUCCAGCAAUGCCGCGUGAGUGAAGAAGGCCUUCGGUUG